RNAcentral lists this ribosomal RNA (213 nucleotides) under Dolichomastix tenuilepis. RNAcentral's name for it is "partial Bacterial large subunit ribosomal RNA". It matches the Rfam family "Bacterial large subunit ribosomal RNA", at positions 2083 to 2295 of the family's 2925-position model. The record is from RNAcentral. Lineage: Eukaryota; Viridiplantae; Chlorophyta; Mamiellophyceae; Dolichomastigales; Dolichomastigaceae.
GAAAGACCCCGUGAACCUUUACUACAGCUUGGCACUGAACAUUGAACCUACAUGUGUAGGAUAGGUGGGAGGCUUUGAAGCACAGUCGCUAGAUUGUGUGGAGCCGUCCUUGAAAUACCACCCUUGUAUGUUUGAUGUUCUAACAUUGUUCCCUUAUCGGGAAUGUGGACAGUGUCUGGUGGGUAGUUUGACUGGGGCGGGCGUCUCCCAAAG